AUGGAGGACUGGAUCGUUCUCAGCAACAGCGACGGGGAUAGCGUGGAGGUCCACGACGGCAGCGAGAGCAGCUUCGCGGUGGUGCACGAGAACGCCGAGAUAUCUGACGCGGCACAGAGCAACUAUGGCCACGUCGAGUCCAAGAUCACCGCCGCCAAGGAUGACAUUGACAUUGAAUGCUUUGAUGAGGAGGACGGAAUCUGCGAGGAGAACCCCGAUGAUGAAAUCUUCAACGACCAGAAGGAAAUCGACUGCGAGGAAGAAUUGGAUGAUGAUGAUGAUGAGAGCCUCGACGAUGAUGACAUUGAACGCUAUGAUGCAGAGGAUAUAAUCUGCGAGGAGAACCCGGACGAUGAAAUCAUCUAGAGAGACGAUUGGUGCCGUCGUCCUGCAUAA
RNAcentral lists this long non-coding RNA (396 nucleotides) under Oryza sativa Indica Group (long-grained rice). Its description in RNAcentral is "lncRNA OsKYG_11g0009740". The record is from RNAcentral. Lineage: Eukaryota; Viridiplantae; Streptophyta; Magnoliopsida; Poales; Poaceae.